Molecule: ribosomal RNA, 206 nt
Filed under: uncultured bacterium
Lineage: Bacteria
Description: partial 16S ribosomal RNA
Rfam family: Bacterial small subunit ribosomal RNA
Source: RNAcentral
GGAUUGUAGUCUGCAACUCGACUACAUGAAGCUGGAAUCGCUAGUAAUCGCGGAUCAGAAUGCCGCGGUGAAUACGUUCCCGGGUCUUGUACACACCGCCCGUCACACCAUGGGAGUCGGAAAUGCCCGAAGUCUGUGACCGAACCGAAAGGAAGGAGCAGCCGAAGGCAGGUCGGAUGACUGGGGUGAAGUCGUAACAAGGUAGC